This 406-nucleotide ribosomal RNA is filed under the name uncultured bacterium. Its description in RNAcentral is "partial 16S ribosomal RNA". It matches the Rfam family "Bacterial small subunit ribosomal RNA", at positions 360 to 773 of the family's 1533-position model. The record is from RNAcentral.
AAUAUUGCGCAAUGGAGGGAACUCUGACGCAGCGACGCCGCGUGAGCGAUGAAGGUCUUCGGAUCGUAAAGCUCUGUCCUUGGGGAAGAAGUUCUUCGGACUCGACGGUACAUAUGGAGGAAGCCCCGGCUAAUUACGUGCCAGCAGCCGCGGUAAUACGCAGGGGGUCAGCGUUGUCCGGAAUUAUUGGGCGUAAAGGGUGCGUAGUCGGCCUUUUAAGUCAGAUGUGAAAGCCCACGGCUUAACCGUGGGACUGCAUUUGAAACUGGAGGGCUUGAGUAUCGGAGAGGGUAGUGGAAUUUCCAGUGUAGCGGUGGAAUGCGUAGAUAUUGGGAGGAACACCAGUGGCGAAGGCGACUACCUGGACGAAAACUGACGCUGAGGCACGAAAGCUAGGGGAGCAAAC